UACGUAGGGGGCUAGCGUUGUCCGGAAUCAUUGGGCGUAAAGAGCGUGUAGGCGGCCCGGUAAGUCCGCUGUGAAAGUCGGGGGCUCAACCCUCGAAUGCCGGUGGAUACUGUCGGGCUAGAGUGCGGAAGAGGCGAGUGGAAUUCCUGGUGUAGCGGUGAAAUGCGCAGAUAUCAGGAGGAACACCGAUGGCGAAGGCAGGUCUCUGGGCCGAUACUGACGCUGAGGAGCGAAAGCGUGGGGAGCGAACAGG
This 253-nucleotide ribosomal RNA is filed under the name uncultured bacterium. RNAcentral's name for it is "partial 16S ribosomal RNA". It matches the Rfam family "Bacterial small subunit ribosomal RNA", at positions 524 to 776 of the family's 1533-position model. The record is from RNAcentral.